Molecule: long non-coding RNA, 900 nt
Filed under: Equus asinus (donkey)
Lineage: Eukaryota; Metazoa; Chordata; Mammalia; Perissodactyla; Equidae
Description: lncRNA (ENSEASG00005032207.1)
Source: RNAcentral
GCAAAAGAGACUGGGACCACUUACUUUCUAGCUUUAGUAGUUUCUGAACAUAAAAGACAUCAGCAGGGAGUCAUAUAUUCUUCCAGAAAUCUUUACUCAGGGAACAAAGACACAGCCCUGCAUCUCCAGGAGUGAAUUGGAUCACUCCGGGAAGUGUUCCAAGUGCACAGAGGGGGCCAGGCCGUAAGGAGGCAGGAAGUUACUCUCUGCCUGUCUACAAGCAAGAGAGGAGGGGACUCCUGAGAAAGAAGACAGAAGAUAGUCACCAUCAAAGAAAAGAAAUGAGGCCUCCAACUUUACAUAGAAGGCAGGCGUGACGGCAGCAGCAGCAGAGCUGGGGCAUCCACAUGAAGGAGAUGAAUCAGGCCAGAGCUCUUCUCUGCAGGAUCCUGGAGCGCAGCACAGCACAUGAUAAGGUGGAUGCUGCAUGUGGAGAGAAACAAGCUCAAGGCAAAUGUCAACCUUGCUCAUAUGGGCCGUGCCACCCUGAGGAGCCCAUGGUGAUAAAUGUUAAAGAAGAAAGAGGAAUUCAACUGAAAACUGCUCUGACUGCACCACAGAAAAUGCUGUGGACUUGCUGGGAUAUCUGUUAAAAUAGAAGGUUUUAGGAUAGACACCUAAAACAGAAUUCACCACAGUGCAGAAAGCCCUCAGUCAACACCCGUGCCCAUGUAACACACUGCGCAAUUGCCUGUGUGAAGGGAGGAGGUUGGGCUGAAAUAAUCCCCACACUACAGCAACUUCUUUGUGAAGUUUGACAGUUUGACAUUCUUGGUAUCAUCUGAUCCAGAAAACAAUCUUGAACCUGAGUCAUUAGCCUUAUUUCAUAUCAAAUAAGAACAUGGUAUACAUUUUUAUGCUAAAAAAAAGUGCAGCACUGUUAGUAGCAAUUGUUUUUUU